GGGGCUAAACCAUGCACCGAAGCUGCGGCAGCGACACUAUGUGUUGUUGGGUAGGGGAGCGUUCUGUAAGCCUGCGAAGGUGUGCUGUGAGGCAUGCUGGAGGUAUCAGAAGUGCGAAUGCUGACAUAAGUAACGAUAAAGCGGGUGAAAAGCCCGCUCGCCGGAAGACCAAGGGUUCCUGUCCAACGUUAAUCGGGGCAGGGU
RNAcentral lists this ribosomal RNA (204 nucleotides) under Klebsiella pneumoniae. Its description in RNAcentral is "partial 23S ribosomal RNA". It matches the Rfam family "Bacterial large subunit ribosomal RNA", at positions 1177 to 1380 of the family's 2925-position model. Lineage: Bacteria; Pseudomonadati; Pseudomonadota; Gammaproteobacteria; Enterobacterales; Enterobacteriaceae. The record is from RNAcentral.